GACGAACGCUGGCGGCGUGCUUAACACAUGCAAGUGGAGCGACGAACCCUUCGGGGGGCAAAGCCGCGAACGGGUGAGUAACACGUGGGUAACCUGCCCCGAUGACUGGGACAACCCGGGGAAACCCGGGCUAAUACCGGAUGAUGUGCACACACUUAAGUGUGUUCACUAAAGGUAGCUUCGGCUUCCGCAUUGGGAGGGGCCCGCGGCCCAUUAGCUUGUUGGUGAGGGGACGGCUCACCAAGGCAACGAUGGGUAGCUGGUCUGAGAGGACGAUCAGCCACACUGGGACUGAGACACGGCCCAGACUCCUACGGGAGGCAGCAGUGGGGAAUCUUGCGCAAUGCGCGAAAGCGUGACGCAGCAACGCCGCGUGAGGGAAGACGGCCUUCGGGUUGUAAACCUCUUUCAGUAGGGACGAAGGCCGGCCGGUGAAUAGCCGUGUCGGUUGACGGUACCUUCAGAAGAAGCUCCGGCUAACUACGUGCCAGCAGCCGCCGCGG
RNAcentral lists this ribosomal RNA (503 nucleotides) under uncultured bacterium. Its description in RNAcentral is "partial 16S ribosomal RNA". It matches the Rfam family "Bacterial small subunit ribosomal RNA", at positions 28 to 523 of the family's 1533-position model. The record is from RNAcentral.